CCUACGGGCGGCAGCAGUGAGGAAUAUUGGUCAAUGGGCGCGAGCCUGAACCAGCCAAGUCGCGUGAGGGAGGACGGCCCUACGGGUUGUAAACUUCUUUUGUCGGGGAACAAAGGCGGAGACGCGUCUCCGGAUGAGUGUACCCGAAGAAAAAGCAUCGGCUAACUCCGUGCCAGCAGCCGCGGUAAUACGGAGGAUGCGAGCGUUAUCCGGAUUUAUUGGGUUUAAAGGGUGCGCAGGCGGGAGAUCAAGUCAGCGGUAAAAUGUCGGGGCUCAACCCCGGCCGGCCGUUGAAACUGGUUUUCUAGAGUUGGAGAGAAGUAGGCGGAAUUCGUGGUGUAGCGGUGAAAUGCAUAGAUAUCACGAAGAACUCCGAUUGCGAAGGCAGCAUACCGGCUCCAUACUGACGCUGAGGCACGAAAGCGUGGGGAUCGAACAGGAUUAGAUACCCGGGUAGUC
RNAcentral lists this ribosomal RNA (459 nucleotides) under uncultured bacterium. RNAcentral's name for it is "partial 16S ribosomal RNA". It matches the Rfam family "Bacterial small subunit ribosomal RNA", at positions 338 to 795 of the family's 1533-position model. The record is from RNAcentral.